Molecule: long non-coding RNA, 1301 nt
Filed under: Macaca fascicularis (crab-eating macaque)
Lineage: Eukaryota; Metazoa; Chordata; Mammalia; Primates; Cercopithecidae
Description: lncRNA (ENSMFAG00000054053.1)
Source: RNAcentral
GUUUCCAUUUUUUCACUACAGUAAAUGACACUAAAGAGAAGACCCUUUGUAAUUCAGUCUUUGCACUCUUCUACUAUUAUUUGCUUUGGAUAAAUUACUCAAACCACAAUUGCUGGGUAAAUGGGUGUGCACACUUUCAAAUUCCUUUCUCUCUCUGUCUUUCCUUCUCUCCUUCCUUCUUCCUUUCUUUUUGUGAACUGCCAAAUCAAUCUCAUAAAAAUCUUGCGCCUCUUUGUACUCAAAACCAAUAUGACUUUUCUUUAAAUGUUAAGACAAUGGAAAGUCACUUUAUUUCACUAUUUUCUAGCACAAUACAUUAUACCAGAAGUGAGGGAAAAUGUUGGGAGGAAGAGAUCUCCAGUUGCUCAGGGAUAUUUCAUUGAGACAAAACAGCAAAACUCAUCUGUCAGGCAAGAGUUUCCAGUAAGUACCCAUCAUCUAUCCACAGUAUAGAUCUCUCUGGCAGCAAACAUUUAGGUGCCAUAUAAUUCAGGAGUCAUUGUCGAAACCGAUCAAUGGGUCUUGCACAUGAUAACAAGCUUUCACCUGCAAUUGAGAGCUGGGGAGUCUGUGCCUCUCUGCAGAGCAGCCUGGACCGUGAAUGGCAAAUCACCAUUCAGCCCUCGGUGAGAGGCAGCACUUUCCGUUUCAAGACCAGCCCUGAAGCAGCGGAAAAGGGAAGUCGUGUGGCUUUGUGGUUUGAUUAGAGGACUGGGCCAUUACAACUUCAAGUUCUCUUUGGGCUCUGCCAAUGACUUCUCCGAUGGCCUCAAUGCAGUCUGUCUCUUUUUUCUCAGCAGUAAAAUGGAGACAAGAAUGCUAGCUUCUUCCACAUAAAGAAUACAACCAAGUACUUGAAGACUUUUAACACAUCUGGGCAUCCAUAAAGGAAACUGUUGCCCAAGACAAUUCAUUUUUUUUUUUUUUUAAAUCACCAUUGUAGAGGUUUUGUUGCUUCGGAGAAAUCUAAGUUUAAUGGUUAUGUAUAAGAAAUGGGGCAAGCUGGGCACGGUGGCUCACGCCUGUAAUCCCAGCACUUUGGGAGUCAAAGCGAUCACUUGAGGUCAGGAGUUCAAGACCAACCUGGCCAACAUGGUGAAAUCCCAUCCCAACUAAAAAUACAAAAAUUAGCCAGGUAAGGUGGCAGGUGCCUGUAGCCCUGGCUAGUUGGGAGGCUGAGGCAGGAGAAUCACUUGAACCUGGGAGGCAGAGAUUGCAGUGAGCCAAGAUUGUGCCACUGCACUCCAGCCUGGGCAAUAGAGUGAGACUCAGUCUCAAAAAAAAAAAAAAAGAAAAAAAAA